Molecule: transfer RNA, 82 nt
Filed under: Caudoviricetes sp.
Lineage: Duplodnaviria; Heunggongvirae; Uroviricota; Caudoviricetes
Description: tRNA-Phe
Rfam family: tRNA
About the family: Transfer RNA (tRNA) molecules are approximately 80 nucleotides in length. Their secondary structure includes four short double-helical elements and three loops (D, anti-codon, and T loops).
Source: RNAcentral
GCAGAUGUAGCUCAGACGGCAAGAGCCACCGGCUUAAAAAGGCCGGCAGAAAGUGUCGCGGGUUCGAGUCCCGCCAUCUGCG